AUUGAACGCUGGCGGCAGGCCUAACACAUGCAAGUCGAGCGAGAGGCGGACGGGUGAGUAAUGUAUGGGAAAGUGCCUGAUGGAGGGGGAUAACUACUGGAAACGGUAGCUAAUACCGCAUACAAUCGGAUGGGCCGAGAUGGGAUUAGCUUGUAGGUGGGGUAAAGGCUCACCAAGGCGACGAUCCCUAGCUGGUCUGAGAGGAUGACCAGCCACACUGGAACUGAGACACGGUCCAGACUCCUACGGGAGGCAGCAGUGGGGAAUAUUGCACAAGGGGCGCAAGCCUGAUGCAGCCAUGCCGCGUGUAUGAAGAAGGCCUUCGGGUUGUAAAGUACUUUCAGCGGGGAGGCGUUACCCGCAGAAGAAGCACCGGCUAACUCCGUGCCAGCAGCCGCGGUAAUUC
This 406-nucleotide ribosomal RNA is filed under the name uncultured bacterium. Its description in RNAcentral is "partial 16S ribosomal RNA". It matches the Rfam family "Bacterial small subunit ribosomal RNA", at positions 29 to 526 of the family's 1533-position model. The record is from RNAcentral.